AUGCCCGUGCCAGGCUGGUUUCGCGGCAAAUUGAGGUCCAGGUCCAAGCCCAAGCCCGGCGCCGCGUCCGUCUCCUCCGCCGCCUCCUCCCCCUCGCGCAAGUCCGUCGACCUCGACUACCCGUCCCCGUCCCCGUCCCCGACCCCCCGGGCGCGGGAGAAGGCCCGCAGCCUCGACUCGCCGGCCGCGCGCCAUGUCCGGGGCGGCGCCGAGUUCCAGUACAAGCUCCCGGUGCCCGUGAUUACCCCGGACCCACUAUGCGAGGAGGCCACGGAUGUGGCGGGCUGCUCCUCGGCCUCGGGCUCCAGCGUGUGCUCUUCGCCGGAUGACGCGCCGGAUCACCACGUGUCUAGGUCCAUGGAUCCAAUUGCUUUUGCCAAGGGAAGAGAUAUGGCAUCUGACACAGCUAUGAUCUUAAAUGAAGACAAACACUUCAUGUCAUGUAGUAUGCCACGGGAGCAUCACAAGUUCUUUGAGGCGCCUGUUUCUAACAUGAGGGCUCUUCAUGUGCAUAAUAACGAUGAUCCUUCAACUAGCGAAGCCAGUUGUUCACGUGGCAGAAUGUUGACUGAAGAUAUAUUUGGUCCAAGAACGAGAAGCCCAUCCCCUGGCCGAAAAGCCCAUGCCUUUGCUGUGAAUAAUGUACAUUCAAAAGAAUUCGGGUUUAGCCCCAGGUCACCAUUGAAAAUGAGUGAGGGUUUGAGAAGCCCGCCUCAUCCCUUGCCUCUUCCUCCAGCUCCCGGUGCUUGCUCACCUCUACCUCCAUCUCCCAGUGCUUGUUCACCUCUUCCUCCAUCUUCCACUGCUUGCUCGCCUCUUCCUACAUCUCCCACUGCUUGCUCACAGUCCAAAUCACAGUGGAAAAAAGGGAAAUUAUUAGGGAGUGGAACAUUUGGCCAGGUUUACCUUGGAUUUAACAGUGAAAAUGGGCAGUUUUGCGCGAUUAAGGAAGUACAAGUAAUUUCAGAUGAUCCACAUUCGAAAGAACGACUCAAGCAACUGAAUCAGGAAAUAGACAUGCUUAAGAAAGCAUCGCACCCGAACGUUGUGCAAUACUAUGAUAGUGAUAUGACUGAUGAUACCCUUUCAAUUUAUCUUGAGUAUGUUUCUGGGGGCUCAAUUCAUAAGUUACUUAGGGAGUAUGGCCCUUUUAAGGAACCUGUGAUUCGCAGUUAUACUUGUCAAAUUCUCGCUGGUCUUGCGUAUUUGCAUGCGAAGAACACUGUCCACAGAGAUAUUAAAGGAGCAAACAUACUUGUUGGCCCUAAUGGUGAUGUUAAACUUGCCGACUUUGGCAUGGCUAAGCAUAUAUCAUCUUUUGCUGAAAUACGCUCUUUCAAAGGAAGUCCUUACUGGAUGGCUCCUGAGGUUAUUAUGAACAGUAAAGGUUACAAUCUAGCUGUUGACAUUUGGAGUUUGGGAUGUACAAUUAUUGAGAUGGCAACGGCAAGACCUCCUUGGCACCAGUAUGAAGGGGUAGCUGCAAUAUUUAAGAUUGCAAACAGUAAAGAUACACCUGAAAUCCCAGAUAUUUUUUCUGAGGAUGGGAGAAGUUUCUUGAAACUAUGCUUAAAACGUAAUCCAGCAUCUCGCGCCACCGCAAGUCGGUUGAUGGACCAUCCUUUUGUUCAGGACCAUCCAGCAGUAAGAGCAGCAAAAGACAGUGCAUUGAGAAAUGCAUUUUCUGCUCCAGCAGAUGUGAAGCAUACAAUGUCUAACAGGGAGUUGCCAUCACGAAGAAGUAUUACUCCCCUAAGGGAUAUAGGUGUGAGUGCGCGAGAUUUUACCGGAUUUUCUACAACUGUCCCUUCACCCCGUACCUCGAGCAGCCCUAUUCCUGUGCGAACAAACAUGUCUCUACCGGUGUCCCCCUGCUCAAGCCCACUGAGGCAAUUUAAGCAGUCCAACUGGAGCUGCUUGCCGUCUCCGCCCCACCCAAUGCUCUCGUCUGGUGCUGCGGCUUACAAUUCAUCAAGCUACGCACUGAAUCAGGCACAACGAAUGCCGGAUCCCUGGCAGGAUGGCUCCUUGAAACUCCAAAGCCCUUACGGUUCUCCAAAAAGGUUCUAA
RNAcentral lists this ribosomal RNA (2070 nucleotides) under Triticum aestivum (bread wheat). RNAcentral's name for it is "partial small subunit ribosomal RNA". The record is from RNAcentral. Lineage: Eukaryota; Viridiplantae; Streptophyta; Magnoliopsida; Poales; Poaceae.